AGUCGACGGUGAAGCCCAGCUUGCUGGGUGGAUCAGUGGCGAACGGGUGAGUAACACGUGAGCAACCUGCCCCGGACUCUGGGAUAAGCGCUGGAAACGGCGUCUAAUACUGGAUACGAGACGCAACCGCAUGGUUAGUGUCUGGAAAGAUUUUUCGGUCUGGGAUGGGCUCGCGGCCUAUCAGCUUGUUGGUGAGGUAAUGGCUCACCAAGGCGUCGACGGGUAGCCGGCCUGAGAGGGUGACCGGCCACACUGGGACUGAGACACGGCCCAGACUCCUACGGGAGGCAGCAGUGGGGAAUAUUGCACAAUGGGCGGAAGCCUGAUGCAGCAACGCCGCGUGAGGGAUGACGGCCUUCGGGUUGUAAACCUCUUUUAGCAGGGAAGAAGCGAUAGUGACGGUACCUGCAGAAAAAGCGCCGGCUAACUACGUGCCAGCAGCCGCGGUAAUACGUAGGGCGCAAGCGUUAUCCGGAAUUAUUGGGCGUAAAGAGCUCGUAGGCGGUCUGUCGCGUCUGCUGUGAAAACCCGAGGCUCAACCUCGGGCCUGCAGUGGGUACGGGCAGACUAGAGUGCGGUAGGGGAGAUUGGAAUUCCUGGUGUAGCGGUGGAAUGCGCAGAUAUCAGGAGGAACACCGAUGGCGAAGGCA
RNAcentral lists this ribosomal RNA (650 nucleotides) under Microbacterium testaceum. RNAcentral's name for it is "bacterial SSU rRNA". It matches the Rfam family "Bacterial small subunit ribosomal RNA", at positions 60 to 723 of the family's 1533-position model. The record is from RNAcentral. Lineage: Bacteria; Bacillati; Actinomycetota; Actinomycetes; Micrococcales; Microbacteriaceae.